UGGGGAAUAUUGCACAAUGGGCGAAAGCCUGAUGCAGCGACGCCGCGUGAGGGAUGACGGCCUUCGGGUUGUAAACCUCUUUCAGCAGGGACGAAGCGCAAGUGACGGUACCUGCAGAAGAAGCACCGGCUAACUACGUGCCAGCAGCCGCGAUAAUACGUAGGGUGCAAGCGUUGUCCGGAAUUACUGGGCGUAAAGAGUUCGUAGGCGGUUUGUCGCGUCGUUUGUGAAAACCAGCAGCUCAACUGCUGGCUUGCAGGCGAUACGGGCAGACUUGAGUACUGCAGGGGAGACUGGAAUUCCUGGUGUAGCGGUGAAAUGCGCAGAUAUCAGGAGGAACACCGGUGGCGAAGGCGGGUCUCUGGGCAGUAACUGACGCUGAGGAACGAAAGCGUGGGUAGCGAACAGG
RNAcentral lists this ribosomal RNA (409 nucleotides) under bacterium. RNAcentral describes it as "partial 16S ribosomal RNA". It matches the Rfam family "Bacterial small subunit ribosomal RNA", at positions 355 to 776 of the family's 1533-position model. The record is from RNAcentral.